GUAGUAUUCCCUCCGUCCCAAAAUUCUUGUCUUACAUUUGUUUAGAUACGGAUGUAUCUAACACUAAAAUGUAACUAGAUACAUCAUAUUUAGACAAAUUUAAGACAAGAAUUUUGGGACGAAGGGAGUACAAA
This is a non-coding RNA of Triticum aestivum (bread wheat), 134 nucleotides long. NCBI's taxonomy places the organism in Eukaryota, Viridiplantae, Streptophyta, Magnoliopsida, Poales, Poaceae. The record is from Rfam.